Molecule: ribosomal RNA, 301 nt
Filed under: uncultured bacterium
Lineage: Bacteria
Description: partial 16S ribosomal RNA
Rfam family: Bacterial small subunit ribosomal RNA
Source: RNAcentral
CAGUCGCCACGGGAAUACGUAGGGGGCAAGCGUUGUCCGGAAUCAUUGGGCGUAAAGAGCGUGUAGGCGGCUUGGUAAGUCUGCUGUGAAAGUCCAGGGCUCAACCCUGGAAUGCCGGUGGAAACUGUCAAGCUCGAGUCCGGAAGAGGCGAGUGGAAUUCCUGGUGUAGCGGUGAAAUGCGCAGAUAUCAGGAGAAACACCAAUGGCGAAGGCAGCUCGCUGGGACGGUACUGACGCUGAGACGCGAAAGCGUGGGGAGCAAACAGGAUUAGAUACCCCCGUAGUCCCUGUCUCUUAUAC